UAGUAUACCCGGGUAGUCCUAGCCGUAAACGAUACUCGCUAGGUGUCGGCCACGGUGCGACCGUUGUCGGUGCCGUAGGGAAGCCGUGAAGCGAGCCACCUGGGAAGUACGGCCGCAAGGCUGAAACUUAAAGGAAUUGGCGGGGGAGCACCACAACGGGAGGAGCGUGCGGUUCAAUUGGAUUCAACGCCGGACAACUCACCAGGAGCGACGGUUACAUGAAGGCCAGGCUGAUGACCUUGCCUGAUUUUCCG
RNAcentral lists this ribosomal RNA (254 nucleotides) under uncultured archaeon. RNAcentral describes it as "partial 16S ribosomal RNA". It matches the Rfam family "Archaeal small subunit ribosomal RNA", at positions 729 to 982 of the family's 1478-position model. The record is from RNAcentral.